CAUAAGAGACUGAGAGUUCCCUUCUAUACCGGGGGGUUCUCUCAUGUCCGCCCACACUUUGUGAACUGUUACUGUCUCUGGCAGAUUCUUGCUAUCAAAGAGACGGUCCCUUUCAUUCCAAACAAUCUCUCACUCUUUCCAGGAGGGGGAUUGGAGGGGGACUAAUCAUUUUUAGCAAGUCUGCCAAAGGGCUUCGGCCCGCAAACUUUUUAAACUCUAUGCUUAACCUAUCAAAGUCUGAACCUUUUCAUAUUUAAUAAUGUGAAAA
This 268-nucleotide unclassified non-coding RNA is filed under the name uncultured fungus. Its description in RNAcentral is "sequence contains ITS1". Lineage: Eukaryota; Fungi. The record is from RNAcentral.